Long non-coding RNA from Lycium barbarum (goji berry), 956 nucleotides. RefSeq lists it as uncharacterized. The record is from RefSeq and is a predicted model, not a curated record. NCBI's taxonomy places the organism in Eukaryota, Viridiplantae, Streptophyta, Magnoliopsida, Solanales, Solanaceae. The transcript has 3 exons.
UUGACAAUCCAUUUGAUGAAACAUGAGCAGCAACUCACGUUUUGCAAUAUCCCCUAUAACUCACGUUUUGCAAUAUCCCCCAUAAUUUUAGUAUACCAUAAUUUAUAUAGCAGCCCUUUAUGGAGGCUAUAUAUAUAUUCUUUCUAAGGCAUUUAUUAGAUGAAGACUUUACAUCAACUUUUUAAUUGUGGGAAGGCCAUACACGUAUUGGUAAUCAUCCUAAUUGGAGAAAUUCCAUACAAGGAAAUUGGCAGUAACGUUUGAGGAAAAAAAAAAUUACGCUGAAGCAAAAAUGCGAAGAACGACAUAAAGGUUACCCCCGCGUUGGUUUUCUCCGGGUAAUAGCAAAUCAGAAAUUUCUUCAAAGCAAAGUAAGGUGGAAGAAGAUUAUUUUUUUGCCAUAUUAGGCUAAAAGAGCGACGAGACGAACGGGUUACGAAUAGCCGCUAACAGGUACAGAUGCACAGUUUGGUGAUCCACCAGUUUAGGACACCCUCUUCUGCUGUUUGGAGUGCUCCUCUUAUUCCGGAGCCUACAUUUUGGUAUAUAUACUUGUUUGAUGCAUAUGUAUAUAUUUGUUCAGGGGUACGGCGGGGCCCUGUUCCGCCAUAUGAUCCGUUUGGUCUGUUUAGAGGUCUGUAGACGUAUUUGUGGGUGUGUGUGCCUACUUUUGUACAAAUGUGUUUGUAUGACCCUGUUCGUUAUGGCAGCCUUGUCGGCGUGCACUUUGUAUAUGUUUUGGGCCGUUGCGCCAUCUGUUAGCCUUGUCGGCUUUUGAUACAUCUGUUAGCCUUGUCGGCUUUUGAUACUUUUGAUAGCCUUGUCGGCUUUUGAUACAUUUGAUAGCCUUGCCGGCUUUUCGAUAUAAGUAUAUGUAUAUGUUUGCGCUGAAAUGUGUCCGAUACAGUUUGACAUAGUUUGAGACGGCAUAUAGUGUUUAUGGCCGUAUAUGCUAU